This 203-nucleotide ribosomal RNA is filed under the name uncultured bacterium. RNAcentral's name for it is "partial 16S ribosomal RNA". It matches the Rfam family "Bacterial small subunit ribosomal RNA", at positions 337 to 531 of the family's 1533-position model. The record is from RNAcentral.
UCCUACGGGAGGCAGCAGUGAGGAAUAUUGCGCAAUGGGGGCAACCCUGACGCAGCGACGCCGCGUGAGUGAGGAAGGCCUUCGGGUCGUAAAGCUCUGUCAAGAGGAAAGAAGUGCAUAAUGGUUAAUACCUGUUAUGUUUGACGGUACCUCUAAAGGAAGCACCGGCUAACUCCGUGCCAGCAGCCGCGGUAAUACGGAGG